Molecule: ribosomal RNA, 253 nt
Filed under: uncultured bacterium
Lineage: Bacteria
Description: partial 16S ribosomal RNA
Rfam family: Bacterial small subunit ribosomal RNA
Source: RNAcentral
UACGGAGGGUGCAAGCGUUAAUCGGAAUUACUGGGCGUAAAGCGAACGCAGGCGGUUUGUUAAGUCAGAUGUGAAAUCCCCGGGCUCAACCUGGGAACUGCAUUUGAAACUGGCUAGCUUGAGUCUCGUAGAGGGGGGUAGAAUUCCAGGUGUAGCGGUGAAAUGCGUAGAGAUCUGGAAGAAUACCAGUGGCGAAGGCGGCCCCCUGGACGAAGACUGACGCUCAGGUGCGAAAGUGUGGGUAGCAAACAGG